RNAcentral lists this long non-coding RNA (498 nucleotides) under Androctonus crassicauda. Lineage: Eukaryota; Metazoa; Arthropoda; Arachnida; Scorpiones; Buthidae. The record is from RNAcentral.
AAGUAUGCGAUGUAAUUAAAGAAAUUAUUGGAUAACCUCUACAAAUAAAGAUAGGGGAACUCUGAAAGAGAAAGUCCUUUUGAUUUCCAUUUGACUGCUUUCUAUGAGCCCACGCCUCAUCUUCCCCUGUGCACAUGUUUACCUGACACAGCAGUGCUGCGUGUUGUACAUACUUGGAACAACAAACUAGAAAUACUGUACUUCUGUACCAACAUUGCCUCCUAGCAGAGAAGUGUGUGUGUGAGAAGCCAGUUCUCCGGGCGUAACCUAGGUGUGAGACUAAAAGCUUUCCUUAUUGACUUAACUUUGGAUAAUGGCAAGAUGUGAUGGGUAGUGGGUACACAGCGUGUGCUUGAAUGGGAGGAAAAAGCUCCAGUGACCCAUAGGAGAUGGUCCUUAAGUGGACUCCAUCUAAUCCCCUAACAGUCGUGAACAGCAUGGUGAAGAGCGUGAAGCUGUUUCUGUAUUCCUUUCAUCCUGAAAGACCUACAGCUUAGG